Long non-coding RNA from Hippocampus comes (tiger tail seahorse), 2273 nucleotides. RefSeq lists it as uncharacterized. The transcript has 2 exons. The record is from RefSeq and is a predicted model, not a curated record. Lineage: Eukaryota; Metazoa; Chordata; Actinopteri; Syngnathiformes; Syngnathidae.
AUUUCUUCCAGAACCAAUUAAUCUCGUAAGUAGAGGUACCACUUUAAUGCCAAAUUAAGCCGAAUUUGAGCAUUUUCCACCCUCUGAUCAAAGUCCGCCAAGCCCUGAUUCUCGGAUUCUCCUAAACGAUAAUCCUGUGGUGUGGGGUUAAAAGUGAUACAGUGCACUCAUCUGUUACUGCACAUGGCACCAAAUGAACGACAUACGUCACACAUGCCCGCUUUUAUGAGUUAUCUCCGUAAGGCACAGGAUAAUAAAAUAAUAAAUGCAAAAAAAAAAAAAAAAAAAAAAUGUGUGAAAGGGACUUUCGAACCAUUUGAGGACACACGGCUUGAAAUGACAACAAUAAACACAGCGAACAUUGGACUCUUGCUGAGACUAUCAGUUGCCCUGAAUCUCAACUUUUGCAUACUUGACCUUCCUUCUCCUCUAUCCCCGUUUGUUUGUAUUCUGCUCUACAAUUUUGAAAUACAGGGAAAAAACAAAACAAAAACAGCGCCAGGCCGAGCAGUACCAAGCCAAGUUUGAUGGAAAAGCCUCAUCAGUGUGAACAUGGGAAUCUACUACCGAACAACCACUUCAUCAAAACACAUGAAGGAUGGACUAAAGGGAGGUAUCUUGACCUGCAGAACAGGUAUGGAAACACACGAAGAAUGCACAGGAGACACCUUUGUCAAACAGGCAUCCACACGGGUAAGAACACGUCUACGCCGCGUGUCUGACAUUCCUUCCCGCGCUGGCGCUCCUCCCAUCACGAUAGCAGUACACACGCUUCUCCUCGAAUCUCCUUGACGCCCGCUCUUUCUAAUUGAAACCGAUGCAAGAGCUCGAUGCAAAAACGCAGCCUUUCACAAAGACCACAGCGCUCGGUUUUUGAUUGGCGCUUGUCAGAGAGGUAUUCAUUGACGUCAUCGAUAUCGAUAUUUACUAUUGCGGUUGCAGUUUAGUCCAUUAUCCUAUUUAGCCACACCUAUAAUGCAACUACGUCUCUGAGCUUGAAACUGCUUUAAAAAAAAAGCCAACGCAGCUUUAAAUAAAUUCGAUUUGACAGAAUGAGCUGCCCAAAAGCAAUGACAAGACGUGUAUAUAAGCGGACCUUAAGAUACAGUAAAUUCUGUCAAUUACGACCUUUACUCCCUGACAAUCACUUGCGACAGACAAACCUGUCGAUUGUCUGUCACAACUGAGGCUUGAUCUACUGCUCGGUCAUUGGACCAACGUAGAAGGAGAUCAAUAUUUACAUCACAAGCUGCCGGGGUUAAUUGCUAGUGAUCUGCUGGUGGGCAGGAAACUCAACCAUCAUGCACAUGCCACACAACACGAGGUGAACCUGCACCAAUGACUUUACAGUCACACAAUGAAUUUUGUCAAACGUAUCAACAAUGUUUUUCUUCUCUCGUAAAUGAUGUAUUGAUGAGCAGGAAAUGUUCAUUUCAGAUAUCUGUGACUGAAUUGUGAUUAGUGGAAAGGACAGAAAAAUCCGGUAUUCACUUUUACCUAUCCGCGGUCCGACAUUAAUGGUGGCUCAAUGGCCCUGGGCCGGUAUGGCAUGGCAGGCACCACAUACCUUACAGAUGCUGGCCCGACUGGGCCAGUGGUGAUUUCAUAAAUAAUAUGAUGAUAUGCACCAAAGGAAGAUAUGCGAAUCGUGUCAUAUUGUCUGUUGCAUUAUUUUUGGUCAAACAUCCGUUAACUUAAUGGAUUGUACCACUCCAACAUAGAUGCUAUCUAGUGCUAGCAUUCGCCCAUCAAUUGAGUUUCCCCACAUUUUCUAGCAUUAGCAUUUAUAUGGUGGACCUAAAAAAAAAAAAAGGGAAGAGUUUAAUUCUUUGUUUUACUUUGUACAAGUUUAACUGUAAACUUCAACCGAGGUUGUCAAUAAACUUCUUGAGAAAAAAAAAAAAGAUUUCCAGGUUUUUCUGGGUAAAAUGAUGUAAGUUAUUUUAUUAAUCAUCACUUUGCUGGAAAAGGGGAUUUGAUUGUCUGUGCCCUUCCAUAAAUGUAUACACAUUAUGUGGCAAUGUUACGGCAACACAUGAGAAAUUUGGGUUUGUGUUUUGAGCCCGUGUGCUGAUCGGUGCCCUCGUCCGACACGCCUGGAAGAAAUGGGACAAGGCCCAGCAACAGACUGGAGCGCAACAUCGCCGUGCCAUACAUUAACUUCUCUCUCGCACCAAAUCUUCAUAUUUACCACCACCUUGCCCAACAAAAAUUAACACCACCGCUCGAAAUAAUACACAAUCAAGAAGAAAACUCCACAGUAAAAGUACAAC